This 689-nucleotide ribosomal RNA is filed under the name uncultured Rhodobacterales bacterium. Its description in RNAcentral is "bacterial SSU rRNA". It matches the Rfam family "Bacterial small subunit ribosomal RNA", at positions 45 to 780 of the family's 1533-position model. Lineage: Bacteria; Pseudomonadati; Pseudomonadota; Alphaproteobacteria; Rhodobacterales. The record is from RNAcentral.
GGCCUAACACAUGCAAGUCGAGCGAGGACUUCGGUUCUAGCGGCGGACGGGUGAGUAACGCGUGGGAAUGUGCCCUUCUCUACGGAAUAGCCCUGGGAAACUGGGAGUAAUACCGUAUACGCCCUAUUGGGGAAAGAUUUAUCGGAGAAGGAUCAGCCCGCGUUGGAUUAGGCAGUUGGUGGGGUAAUGGCCUACCAAGCCGACGAUCCAUAGCUGGUUUGAGAGGAUGAUCAGCCACACUGGGACUGAGACACGGCCCAGACUCCUACGGGAGGCAGCAGUGGGGAAUCUUAGACAAUGGGGGCAACCCUGAUCUAGCCAUGCCGCGUGAGUGAUGAAGGCCUUAGGGUUGUAAAGCUCUUUCAGCUGGGAAGAUAAUGACGGUACCAGCAGAAGAAGCCCCGGCUAACUCCGUGCCAGCAGCCGCGGUAAUACGGAGGGGGCUAGCGUUGUUCGGAAUUACUGGGCGUAAAGCGCACGUAGGCGGACCGGAAAGUCAGAGGUGAAAUCCCAGGGCUCAACCUUGGAACUGCCUUUGAAACUAUCGGUCUGGAGUCCGAGAGAGGUGAGUGGAAUUCCGAGUGUAGAGGUGAAAUUCGUAGAUAUUCGGAGGAACACCAGUGGCGAAGGCGGCUCACUGGCUCGAUACUGACGCUGAGGUGCGAAAGCGUGGGGAGCAAACGGGAUUA